GAUCAGAGGUGCUGGGACAGUCUGUCCUCUGUGGGAGCAUUCACAUGCCUUUACUGAGGGGUGAACCACAGUAGUGGAGCCCCUUGGGGAUGUCCUGGAGAAAGGUGAUUUCCCUCAUCCAUCUCAGCCAAUGCCAGCCCUCCCAUUGGCAGCUCAGGCUCCAGGCCCUGCCCCUCACCUAUACCAUCUUGAUUUUGGGGUUCUAGGCGAUGGUAUAAAAUCCCCUCAAAGUGCUCAGAACCUGUAUGAGAGUCCUGUCCCGUAUCUCAUGGAAAGGAUGGACUGGCACAGCUCAGUCACCGGUCUGUCUUCUAGCUCCUUCUACCCUGUCUCUGUCACCACCAGUUACUCAACCCACACCAGACAGCUCACAUCCAACACACAAAUAACCGCCACAGCAGAAGGAAGCCAGGAAGGAAUCAAAGCUUCUGAAAACUCUGGUUUAUGCCCACUCACACCCAGGGAACUUGCCACACCGUCUCCAGAGUCAGGACAAACCCAGGAGAACCCAAACCAGCCACUGCCCCAACCCUUUGAACUCCAACACUAGGGAAGCCAAUUACAGAAGCCCACAAGCAAUCACAAUAAUCAGAUGUUUGCUGAGCACUGCUGCUCAAGUACUAGGCUGGACAGAAUCUUCUCUGCUUUAAGCUACUAGAUCCUCCCAGCAGUACCUACCUACCAUUGCGACUCCCAUCUCACUGAUAAGAAAACUGAGAUCCAGCCCUCAGUAAAUUGUGGGGGCGGGAGGGUUUGGUGGCACAGGCCUGUAAUCCCAGCUAGUCAGGAGUCCGAGAGAGAAACAAAAAGAGUUUAGAUUCAAGUCCUGCCUGGGCUACAAACUGAAUUCAAGGCAACCUGGGAAAUUUAGUAAAACUAUCCCAAAAUAAGUAAUAUAGAAAAGAUGUGAGAUGUGAUCAGUGGUGGAGAACUUACAAAGAAAAGGGGGGUAGGCUGGAGAGAGCACUCCAGGGUUAGGAGCAGUUGUUCCUGCCGAGGACAUGGGUGGGUUCCCAGGACCCACAUGGCAGCUCACCACCACCUAUAACUCCAGCCACAGGGGAUCUGAUGCCCACCCUCUUCUAACCAGGAACACAUUCCAUGCAGAGACAUAUAUGGGAGCAAAACAUUCACACAUAUAAAAUUAAUAAAUCUAAAAAAGAGAUGCUGGCCCAAGGUGAGCCAGCUAACACCUUGCUCCGGUCAAAGUUUGUAAGGAAUUGUUAGACCCUUGGAGCUAGAAGGCACCUCAGCCACCAGGUGCCACACCCCAUUCUGUUCAGAUCUAGGGAAACUGAGAUCUAGAGAAAACAAGCAGCCCCUAGGUGACACAGGCUCAAUUGCUCUCAGGCCCCUUCCGUACUAAAUGUGCAGAAACCACCCUGCUACCAGCAUCUCCAGCACUGGGUUGGAACAAGUCCUUGCUUGCCAGAGGCUUUGAAAUCUCAGGAUGAAAGAUGCCGGGGCAGCAAACCUGCACCCUGGCACCCACCCUUACACUCAGGAGCCUCCCUGGCGAGCCUGCCCUGGGAUCUAGGGCAUCUGAAGAGGGAUUAUUAAUAGCACUUUCAAGUGUUUGGAGGAAAGCCUCAACUACAGAACCUAGAAAGGUCUGUGCUGCCUGGGGAAAGGACAGCAAGAGCCAGCUGGGCCCCACCACGACCUGACCGGCUCCUCAGCCAAGCUAGAGGCCUGGGCCAGGUGGAGGACAGUGACUGGUAGCCUGUCCCUAGCCUUCAUGGUACACCCAGGCCCAGAGCCUGGGGCACAUAAACUUCCCAGAACACAUGUCAGGUCCCUGGCACAAGGACCCUUUCCUCUUGGCUUAAAACUCUGUUGUCUGCCAUUCAACUACCCCGAGCUCCCAUGACCUCAAAAGUGGGAAAAUUCUACCUGGUGGUGGUGGUGGUGGUGCAUGCCUCUAAUCUCAGCACUCAAGAGGCAGAGGCAGAGGCAGGUGGAUCUCUGAGUUCGAGGCCAGCCUGAUCUGCAGAGUGAGUUCCAGGACUGCCAGGGCUAUACAGAGAAACCCUGUCUCGAAAAACCAAAAAAAAAAAGAAAAGAGAGAAGAGAAAAGAAAAGAAAAGCCAGCAAAAAUAAAAAUGAAAAGGUUCUGUAAACUGUAGGGUGCUGUACCUGCAUGUCACCUCUGGUCUUGAAAUCUGUCCCUAACAAUUGUAGAUUGGAUACACUCAGAAACAUUGACUGUAUAAAUAAAUAAAUAAAUAAAUAAAUAAAUAAGGAA
Long non-coding RNA from Mus musculus (house mouse), 2245 nucleotides. RefSeq annotates it as predicted gene 13523. The transcript is spliced from 3 exons. Lineage: Eukaryota; Metazoa; Chordata; Mammalia; Rodentia; Muridae. The record is from RefSeq and is a predicted model, not a curated record.